RNAcentral lists this unclassified non-coding RNA (451 nucleotides) under Hevea brasiliensis (rubber tree). The record is from RNAcentral. Lineage: Eukaryota; Viridiplantae; Streptophyta; Magnoliopsida; Malpighiales; Euphorbiaceae.
GCAGAGCUAGAGCAGAAUAAGGUUUCUUGCAAAUGUUGGAAUUUUAAAUAAUGUGGACUCUGAGAAUGUGGAGUGAGCCUUCUAACGAGAGAUAAUGUAUGGCUAUGAGCUAUUCUCCAUCAUUGGUGGUGUAUGCAUUGGCAACAGGCUCAAAAGUUGGAAGCAUAUCGUAUUAUUUCCAUCCAUCCAUUUAAAAGAAAAGACAGCAACCUAUGCACGCAAACACAAUGCGGAGAGAUCAGAUUAGUGAUCAGUGUGGUGUGGAAGUCACUUUUGGCAGCAAAGUCACCAAAUACACGUCACACCACACAUACGAUCGAGAGUGGGAAACACCUAUCUCCUCAUUUGAGCUGAUCAUGUCACUUUUUGGCUUUUGGGGAUACAUUUAUCUUCCUGCCUGCUGCUAUAUAUUCCCUUCAUUCAUAUCCUAAUAAGCCCAUAUAUUCAUAAA